This 86-nucleotide transfer RNA is filed under the name Candidatus Pacebacteria bacterium RIFCSPHIGHO2_01_FULL_46_10. Its description in RNAcentral is "tRNA-Tyr". It matches the Rfam family "tRNA". Rfam says of the family: Transfer RNA (tRNA) molecules are approximately 80 nucleotides in length. Their secondary structure includes four short double-helical elements and three loops (D, anti-codon, and T loops). The record is from RNAcentral. Lineage: Bacteria; Bacillati; Minisyncoccota.
GCCAGGUUACUCAAGCGGUCAACGAGGGCAGACUGUAAAUUUGCUGGCUUCGGCCUACGUAGGUUCGAGUCCUACACCUGGCACUA